This 527-nucleotide ribosomal RNA is filed under the name uncultured Bacillota bacterium. RNAcentral describes it as "bacterial SSU rRNA". It matches the Rfam family "Bacterial small subunit ribosomal RNA", at positions 349 to 868 of the family's 1533-position model. Lineage: Bacteria; Bacillati; Bacillota. The record is from RNAcentral.
CAGCAGUAGGGAAUCUUCCGCAAUGGACGAAAGUCUGACGGAGCAACGCCGCGUGAGCGAAGAAGGCCUUCGGGUCGUAAAGCUCUGUUGUUAGGGAAGAACAAGUACGAGAGUAACUGCUCGUACCUUGACGGUACCUAACCAGAAAGCCACGGCUAACUACGUGCCAGCAGCCGCGGUAAUACGUAGGUGGCGAGCGUUGUCCGGAAUUAUUGGGCGUAAAGCGCGCGCAGGUGGUUCUUUAAGUCUGAUGUGAAAGCCCACGGCUCAACCGUGGAGGGUCAUUGGAAACUGGGGAACUUGAGUGCAGAAGAGGAAAGUGGAAUUCCAAGUGUAGCGGUGAAAUGCGUAGAGAUUUGGAGGAACACCAGUGGCGAAGGCGACUUUCUGGUCUGUAACUGACACUGAGGCGCGAAAGCGUGGGGAGCAAACAGGAUUAGAUACCCUGGUAGUCCACGCCGUAAACGAUGAGUGCUAAGUGUUAGGGGGUUUCCGCCCCUUAGUGCCGCAGCUAACGCAUAAGCACU